This 89-nucleotide transfer RNA is filed under the name Cryphonectria parasitica EP155. RNAcentral's name for it is "tRNA-Pro". The record is from RNAcentral. Lineage: Eukaryota; Fungi; Ascomycota; Sordariomycetes; Diaporthales; Cryphonectriaceae.
GGUCUUGUGGUCUAGUGGUAUGAUUCUCGCUUAGGGUCCACCCUAAUCAUCAUUGCGAGAGGCCCCGCGUUCGAUCCGCGGCAAGACCC